UUGGUUUGAGGUAACAGAAAAGGAAAACGUAAAAGUUUGGCCUUUUUAAAUUUGUAUUUUUUUUUUUUAUCUACCUAAACUAAACUGAUACUAAAAAGAUUUGACACUAAUAAUAGUUAAUUAGAAGAUACGAGACAAGUAAUAUUCCCAAAUCAAGCAAUCCUAAUAUUAUUAAUUAGCUUACACACACAACCUCUGUCGUUUUCCCAUGU
This 212-nucleotide long non-coding RNA is filed under the name Capsella rubella. Its description in RNAcentral is "long non-coding RNA (CRUB_LNC003453)". The record is from RNAcentral. Lineage: Eukaryota; Viridiplantae; Streptophyta; Magnoliopsida; Brassicales; Brassicaceae.